Molecule: ribosomal RNA, 245 nt
Filed under: uncultured bacterium
Lineage: Bacteria
Description: partial 16S ribosomal RNA
Rfam family: Bacterial small subunit ribosomal RNA
Source: RNAcentral
AGUAACGCGUGGAGAACCUGCCGUAUACUGGGGGAUAACACUUAGAAAUAGGUGCUAAUACCGCAUAAGCGCACAGCUUCGCAUGAAGCAGUGUGAAAAACUCCGGUGGUAUACGAUGGAUCCGCGUCUGAUUAGCUUGUUGGCGGGGUAAAGGCCCACCAAGGCGACGAUCAGUAGCCGGCCUGAGAGGGUGAACGGCCACAUUGGGACUGAGACACGGCCCAGACUCCUACGGGAGGCAGCAG